AGAUAUGAUGCUGCAGCCAAGGAUGACUUGCCGAUAAAUUCUUUCUCUAAUUUGACUUUCAAUUCAUGUUUGUCAAUUGAUAGUGCAUUAGUUCUAAUAUAUGCAUUUGAUUAUAUAGAACACUAUUGUGAAAGUGUCUUUAGGGAUAGGGUAAAUUCGGCAAGUCAUCUUUGGCUACAUGUCUAUCUCA
Non-coding RNA from Glycine soja, 190 nucleotides. Lineage: Eukaryota; Viridiplantae; Streptophyta; Magnoliopsida; Fabales; Fabaceae. The record is from Rfam.